This 491-nucleotide ribosomal RNA is filed under the name uncultured bacterium. RNAcentral's name for it is "partial 16S ribosomal RNA". It matches the Rfam family "Bacterial small subunit ribosomal RNA", at positions 29 to 506 of the family's 1533-position model. The record is from RNAcentral.
AGUGAACGCUGGCGGUAGGCCUAACACAUGCAAGUCGAACGGCAGCACAGUAAGAGCUUGCUCUUACGGGUGGCGGGGGGCGGACGGGUGAGGCAUACAUCGGAAUCUACUUUUUCGUGGGGGAUAACGUAGGGAAACUUCUGCUAAUACCUCAUACUACCUACGGGUGAAAGCAGGGGAGCUUCGGACCUUGCGCGAUUGAAUGAGCCGAUGUCGGAUUAGCUAGUUGGCGGGGUAAAGGCCCACCAAGGCGACGAUCCGUAGCGAAUCUGACAGGAGGAUCAGCCACACUGGACUUGAGACACGGUCCAGACUCCUACGGGAGGCAGAAGUGGGAAAUAUUGGACAAUGGGCGCAAGCCUGCUCCAGACAGACGGCUUGGGUAAAGAAGUCUUUCGAGUUGUAAAGCCUUUUUGUAGGGAAAGAAAAGUAGCUGAUUAACUCUCCGCUGCUCUGACGGUACCAAAAGAAUAAGCACCGCCUAACUUCGU